This 468-nucleotide ribosomal RNA is filed under the name uncultured bacterium. RNAcentral describes it as "partial 16S ribosomal RNA". It matches the Rfam family "Bacterial small subunit ribosomal RNA", at positions 28 to 507 of the family's 1533-position model. The record is from RNAcentral.
GACGAACGCUGGCGGCGUGCUUAACACAUGCAAGUCGAACGGAAAGGCCCUGCUUUUGUGGGGUGCUGGAGUGGCGAACGGGUGAGUAACACGUGAGUAACCUACCCUUGACUUUGGGAUAACUUCAGGAAACUGGGGCUAAUACCGGAUAGGAGCUCCUGCUGCAUGGUGGGGGUUGGAAAGUUUCGGCGGUUGGGGAUGGACUCGCGGCUUAUCAGCUUGUUGGUGGGGUAGUGGCUUACCAAGGCUUUGACGGGUAGCCGGCCUGAGAGGGUGACCGGCCACAUUGGGACUGAGAUACGGCCCAGACUCCUACGGGAGGCAGCAGUGGGGAAUAUUGCACAAUGGGCGGAAGCCUGAUGCAGCAACGCCGCGUGCGGGAUGACGGCCUUCGGGUUGUAAACCGCUUUCGCCUGUGACGAAGCGUGAGUGACGGUAAUGGGUAAAGAAGCACCGGCUAACUACGUG